This is a long non-coding RNA of Ostrinia nubilalis (European corn borer), 713 nucleotides long. RefSeq lists it as uncharacterized. The transcript has 2 exons. The record is from RefSeq and is a predicted model, not a curated record. NCBI's taxonomy places the organism in Eukaryota, Metazoa, Arthropoda, Insecta, Lepidoptera, Crambidae.
GUUUAAAAGUUAUUACGUUUUCUUUGCAAUAAGUAAUUGGAAGAAAAAAAAAAUCAAUAAAAAAUUUAAAAAAAAUCUCAAAAAUUUUUUGACCUCUUUUUUGUCGAUAAAAAUAGGUCUAGUUUCAUCUAUUUUCAUAUGUACACUUUAACGUGACUCACACUGUAUUAAACAUUGUUCGAAAUUGGAUUCAACCCAGAGAGAUUCGUCCUUCAGAUCUUCUUUGCCAUAGAUACUAUCAGAGAGCACGAAUUACUACAGUUGGUGCUUAUUUAAUGAAGCUGAGGACCGGUGAUUCAGAUGACAGAAUAGCUACAUUACUUGGCAUUUCAAGGAGUACUCUUACAAAAUAUGUAAUGAAAGCACGCAGUAUGAUGGAGGAACAUUUCGUACCAGCACAUUUAGGGUUACAACAUAUUAGUAGAGAGGAAGUAGCCCAAAGAAACCUUUAUGUUCCAGUCUCUUUUCGGGAAGCCAGGAAACGAUUUACCACAAAGAAAGGCUAUUGUCAUCAUGGAUGGUACAUACAUACAUUUAUGUGCAAAAAAGUAGCAAUUAUGCAUACCAAAAAAAAAAACUUAUUCCCUAUACAAAUAUCGGAAUCUCGUUAAACCAUUUAUGGUACUUUGUUGUGAUGGCGACAUCAUUGAUGUAUUGGGCCCAUAUUUAAUAGAAAAUGUAGAACAUGACCAUUAAUAAAUAAUAAGUACCUA